GAUGAAGAACGUAGCGAAAUGCGAUACUUGGUGUGAAUUGCAGAAUCCCGUGAAUCAUCGAGUCUUUGAACGCAAGUUGCGCCCGAAGCCAUCAGGUUGAGGGCACGUCUGCCUGGGCGUCACAUAUCGUUGCCCAAUGCCUAUUGCAGUGCAAUAGGAAUUUCUAGGGCGAAUGAUGGCUUCCCGUGAGCGUUGUUGCCUCGCGGUUGGUUGAAAAUCGAGUCCUUGGUAGGGUGUGCCAUGGUAGAUGGUGGUCGAGUUAGAACGAUACCGAUCAUGUGCAUGCUCCCCAAAAUAUGGCCUCUAUGACCCACACGCGUCUUUUGACGCUCAUGACGAGACCUCAGGUCAGGCGGGGCUACCCGCUGAAUUUAAGCAUAUCAAUAAGCGGAGGA
RNAcentral lists this unclassified non-coding RNA (395 nucleotides) under soil metagenome. RNAcentral's name for it is "partial contains 5.8S ribosomal RNA, internal transcribed spacer 2, and large subunit ribosomal RNA". The stretch from base 1 to 122 matches the Rfam family "5.8S ribosomal RNA", at positions 35 to 154 of the family's 154-position model. The record is from RNAcentral.